This 253-nucleotide ribosomal RNA is filed under the name uncultured bacterium. Its description in RNAcentral is "partial 16S ribosomal RNA". It matches the Rfam family "Bacterial small subunit ribosomal RNA", at positions 524 to 776 of the family's 1533-position model. The record is from RNAcentral.
UACGUAGGGGACAAGCGUUAUCCGGAUUUACUGGGCGUAAAGCGCCCGUAGGCGGCCUGUUAAGUUGGACGUGAAAGCUCCCGGCUUAACUGGGAGAGGCCGUUCAAAACUGUGAGGCUAGAGUGAGGCAGAGGAGCGCGGAAUUCCCGGUGUAGUGGUGGAAUGCGUAGAGAUCGGGAGGAACACCAGUGGCGAAAGCGGCGCUCUGGGCCUAAACUGACGCUGAGGGGCGAAAGCGUGGGGAGCGAACGGG